UGAAUCUGGGAGCAUUAUGUCUGGGAGAAAGAUCUUUUUGAAGCCUAUAAAGUAUUUUGGAUAAUAAGUGUGGAAAAACAGGAUAACAUCUUCACCAGCCAGGCUUGGAGGCUUCUCUAUGGACCUGUCACUCUUCAUAGACACACAGCUGGGUGCUGGAGAUGGUGUCUUCAUCAACCUCGUCAUCAUGAAGUUAACCCCUGUAAACAUGACGAUGAUGAUGAUGGUGCUGUCCUUCAGUCAAUGUCAAUGUUACAUCAACAACUGUCACGCUGAUCCUGGAACAUCCUGAUUCAAAAUAAUUCCAAUAAAAAUCCUGUUAGAGUUC
This is a long non-coding RNA of Silurus meridionalis, 328 nucleotides long. RefSeq lists it as uncharacterized. NCBI's taxonomy places the organism in Eukaryota, Metazoa, Chordata, Actinopteri, Siluriformes, Siluridae. The transcript has 3 exons. The record is from RefSeq and is a predicted model, not a curated record.